CCUACGGGAGGCUGCAGUGGGGAAUAUUGGACAAUGGGGGGAACCCUGAUCCAGCCAUGCCGCGUGUGUGAAGAAGGCCCUCGGGUUGUAAAGCACUUUCAGUGAGGAAGAACGCCUGGUGGUUAAUACCCAUCAGGAAAGACAUCACUCACAGAAGAAGCACCGGCUAACUCCGUGCCAGCAGCCGCGGUAAUACGGAGGGUGCGAGCGUUAAUCGGAAUUACUGGGCGUAAAGCGCGCGUAGGUGGCUUGAUAAGCCGGUUGUGAAAGCCCCGGGCUCAACCUGGGAACGGCAUCCGGAACUGUCAAGCUAGAGUGCAGGAGAGGAAAGUAGAAUUCCCGGUGUAGCGGUGAAAUGCGUAGAGAUCGGGAGGAAUACCAGUGGCGAAGGCGGCCUUCUGGACUGACACUGACACUGAGGUGCGAAAGCGUGGGUAGCAAACAGGAUUAGAUACCCCAGUAGUC
RNAcentral lists this ribosomal RNA (465 nucleotides) under Vreelandella stevensii. RNAcentral describes it as "partial 16S ribosomal RNA". It matches the Rfam family "Bacterial small subunit ribosomal RNA", at positions 338 to 795 of the family's 1533-position model. The record is from RNAcentral. Lineage: Bacteria; Pseudomonadati; Pseudomonadota; Gammaproteobacteria; Oceanospirillales; Halomonadaceae.